GUGAUAUGCGGUGUAACGGUAACACACCUGACUGUCUAUCAGGAGAAGGGGUUCGAAUCCCACAUGUCACG
Molecule: transfer RNA, 71 nt
Filed under: Ignavibacteria bacterium
Lineage: Bacteria; Pseudomonadati; Ignavibacteriota; Ignavibacteria
Also listed under: 1 other name
Description: tRNA-Asp
Rfam family: tRNA
About the family: Transfer RNA (tRNA) molecules are approximately 80 nucleotides in length. Their secondary structure includes four short double-helical elements and three loops (D, anti-codon, and T loops).
Source: RNAcentral